GAAGAAUAAGGAGAAGAAGAAUAAUUUCUUGAUUUGGUAGAAUGAAAACGGAGGAAGAAAAAGCUUCCACAGAAAAACAGAGGAAAAAAGAAGGAUAAAGAGAUUUCAGCGGGUUCUUAGCAAUGGCUUCCAUUUAUAAUUGAUUUGUAGGUUUGCUUCUGAUCUUAACUGUUGAUCAGAACAUAUAGAUGGCCGGCUGACAGUCUGUUGAGCAGGUGGUUGAUGGCGGGUCGAGCAGCUGAUCCACGGAGAGGGGGUUGUACCUGCAGGUGCUCCGAUGCCAAAGUUAGAGAAGGAAUGAGAGCAAAUGAGAUACAAGAGAAAGAAAGUAAUUGAAUGAAUGAAUAGUGUUUUUUAGCUCCACUGUAUAUGAGAGCUUAUAUAGCCCUCAGCUCUGGGCCAAAGGUCCUCUUAUUGGGUUGGAUCAAGUCAGGCCCAAUAAAAUGGACUGCCAAGAUAUUACCCCUAGAUAGUGGGUGAAGCAGGAAUCUGCUCCUAUCUUGGUGGAUAGGUUCCAUCAUGUUCUGCUGAUAUGGAUGUGGUGGGACAAGCUGUCAUGGACUUAGGGGGUAUGAAGUGGACUGGUUCUAGUCUAGUUCAGAACAGCUUCUAUCAAUAUUCAGUGUAGAUUCAAAGACUUUAGCGUCGUCAACAUUGCAGACCUGAAUGCAUGACUAUUCUAGAUAUUUGAAUUUUUUUCAUAUUAAA
Long non-coding RNA from Trifolium pratense (red clover), 708 nucleotides. RefSeq lists it as uncharacterized. Lineage: Eukaryota; Viridiplantae; Streptophyta; Magnoliopsida; Fabales; Fabaceae. The record is from RefSeq and is a predicted model, not a curated record. The transcript is spliced from 2 exons.